Molecule: long non-coding RNA, 1853 nt
Organism: Lemur catta (Ring-tailed lemur)
Lineage: Eukaryota; Metazoa; Chordata; Mammalia; Primates; Lemuridae
Exons: 2
Source: RefSeq, a predicted model, not a curated record
UGUAAGGACAAGAUGCUUCAGUAUGGAAAAUUAGGUAUUUGAUAUCUUUGUUAAAAGUCAGAUAUCAUUUAUGGUUGACAGACAAAAACUUAGAGACAUGGAAUGUUAAUAUAUUUAAAACUUUGCCUCAUUUCUACUUUUCUCUACUGAAUAGUAACGCUCAUCCUACCUUAUAGAAGCUUUUUUAUAAGACUUAUUUCUAAACAUUUCAGUUUCAUUCUGACUAGGCAUUUAAUUCAUAAUUUAAAUUGUGAAGUUCAACAUUUCAAUUAUAGAAAUUUAAAUCCUCUUUUAAAGUCAAAAGUGAUAAAAUUGCUUUUGCAUGAUAGUGGUCAUAAUAUGAGAAUGCAAAAAAGGUGCUCUAAGUGAAUUCUGAUCAAUAAUUCCUAGAAAGAAAAAAACUGAAAACCAACUAGGAUUGAAAGAAAGACAUUUAUUGAAUCAAAAUCAAUACUUUAUUUUUAAUAUCUACAAGCCAACACUGAAACUCACUUUAUUCAAGGAUGAACACAAUGUACAAAAAAAAGUAUGCUUAUAUUAUAAAAAUAAGUCAAUUUUAUCUUCUGGGUGCUGAGCAGAAGUCAUUUUAACUAAAAUCAAGGCAAACUUGUUCUUUAUGAUGAAACUGCUGUAAUUUAAUAACAAAAGUGAAAGCUAAUGUGCUCACAAAGUAUUUUUCAAGGCCCACUGAUCCUGCUGCCCUGGCAACGCUGACCCAGUGUCCCCUGCCGUCAACGCUCCCGCUCUGCUCACGGGCACCAGGUCACGCCCACGUCGUGGAAAGUACCGUUUACAGAAGGCAGAACCCACGUGAGUGAGUCUCCAUUCGGCUUCCCUUAACAGUUGUUAGCAUACAUUUCAGCAAAGCAUUAACAGUAUAAUGCAUGUUGAGUAGCAAAAUCCUAUUUAUUUAGUUAGCUUCAAUUUAAAAAUGAGAUACACUGCUAUGGGGAAGAAAUGGCCUCCCAAGAUUUACAAGCAAUUCCAUGUAUGAAUGUGGAAAGCUGCCUCCCUUCACACUCUCCUCCCUAAAAAAUGUAUGUCCAAGGUUGGUACCUAACUUUUUUUGUAAUUUUCUGGCACUUUCCCAGGCACUGCUGGCCUGUGGACUUGGUGGUGGCUGCAGAAAAGUCACAGGCUCGAAAGCCCAGCUUGCGUGGCGAGAGGGACACUCCAACGCUUGCCUUGGAGCAGCAGGAGAAACAGUGAUUGGAAAAGGGAAUAAAAUCGAAUCGUGAGUUCGGAAAAAGGGACCAUGGGUCCCUGUAUUGUAGUUCCAGGAGUUAUGUAACAAAGAGAAAAACCAGACUAAUUUAAACAGUCAAAACAGAAGUACAUUAAAUAGCAUCAGUGGUGAUAAUGCCAAGAAAAUCCAAUCUUUUCAAGAGCUUGCACACAGCGGCGUCCUGGCAGAGCAAAAUGACAGCAGCACCCGGGCAAAUGCCAGAAUGCAGCAUCCACACAGUUUGUAAGUUAUUAAACAAACUGUAAAUUCCCUAUUUUGAGGAGUCUGUAUGUCUUCCCUUGACAGAUUCUUUCUGACCUUGGGAUUGACAGUGAUGAAGGUUCAAAAUUGCAAAAUACAAGGUGUCCCACCGGACUGGCUAAAUUAAAUUCCAAAGACUUGGGAGAGAGGUGCUUCCCUGUUUUGCCUACAUAAACCUAACGUUACCUUAGUCCCAAGUUCUGUGAAACAGAUGACGUGCCUGGUGCCACAGCGAACCUUCUGUAUCUAGCAGCAGUGUCAUCAGCCCUGGGCCUCCCAUGGGCUCCCAUCAAAACAACUUCAUAAAGCAUGCAGAUAAUCAUCUAUUCUGCUGAAGUUUCAAAAACAAAUAAAAAUGAUCAUUGUG